Long non-coding RNA from Pocillopora damicornis (cauliflower coral), 547 nucleotides. The record is from RefSeq and is a predicted model, not a curated record. Lineage: Eukaryota; Metazoa; Cnidaria; Anthozoa; Scleractinia; Pocilloporidae.
UUUGCAACUAAACUUUUCACGAUAUUGAUCCAAUAUGUGCUAAAGGGCAACAAGCGAAUUUUACUUAUAGUAAAUAUAGUAUUUUGGGGUUGGAAUUUUUGUUUCCGUAUCUGAUUACACCGGAAGUGUCGAAAUCCUCAAACGAUUGCAUGAUCAUUUUCCUAGAAAAUCCUGAAUAAAGUUAAUUCGUUGUCUAUCUCACUGUGGUUAUUUCAAAAUUGUGCCUUCUGAAAAAAUUAAGGUUAAGGGGAACGAAAAGCGAAAUGAUUUCAGUCCACUCAUUUACAAUGCACUGGAAGGCAACAGGAAAGCUAAUGCUGCGAGCUGAAAAUGCAACGAUUUACUGAGGAAAGGAAGUAAAGCUAACAGUUAAGAGAGACGAAGGACUGUGAACCAUGAGCGGAAGACAAAAUGAGUAUGGAAGUUUGGAAAGCUUGGGAAAGUGCAAGAAACAACCCCUAGUACAGCAUGAAAAGACAAGGCAGUCAUCUCAGAAUGAUAAAUAUAAUGCCCUUGUGGACUGAAAAGCCAAAAAGUCAAAAAAGAU